Molecule: ribosomal RNA, 465 nt
Filed under: uncultured bacterium
Lineage: Bacteria
Description: partial 16S ribosomal RNA
Rfam family: Bacterial small subunit ribosomal RNA
Source: RNAcentral
CCUACGGGUGGCAGCAGUGGGGAAUAUUGCGCAAUGGGCGAAAGCCUGACGCAGCGACGCCGCGUGAGGGAUGAAGGUCUUCGGAUCGUAAACCUCUGUCAGCAGGGAAGAACAGUCACUGUGCUAAUCAGCAGUGAAUUGACGGUACCUGCAAAGGAAGCACCGGCUAACUCCGUGCCAGCAGCCGCGGUAAUACGGAGGGUGCGAGCGUUAAUCGGAAUUACUGGGCGUAAAGCGCUCGUAGGCGGUAUGUCAAGUCAAGGGUGAAAUCCCCGCGCUCACAGUGGGAACUGCCUUUGAAACUGGCAAACUGGAGUGUGUGAGAGGAUAGUGGAAUUCCAGGUGUAGGAGUGAAAUGCGUAGAUAUCUGGAGGAACAUCAGUGGCGAAGGCGACUAUCUGGCACAUAACUGACGCUGAGGAGCGAAAGCGUGGGUAGCAAACAGGAUUAGAUACCCGAGUAGUC